RNAcentral lists this long non-coding RNA (226 nucleotides) under Lactuca sativa (garden lettuce). RNAcentral describes it as "long non-coding RNA (LSAT_LNC001853)". Lineage: Eukaryota; Viridiplantae; Streptophyta; Magnoliopsida; Asterales; Asteraceae. The record is from RNAcentral.
CUCAAUUUUUCCAAGAAAAUGCUUCUAAACACUCCCACUUGUACACACACCUUCACCACCAUAAAUCACCAUCACACCAUCAGUGCUCCAGUUUUGCCCAAAACCCUAUUUCCCAUUUUUGGUAGAAAAAUCAAGGGGUUUUCAUCAAAUUGGAGAUUUAUAUCCGACUCAACAGCUGGGACUGGAAGAAGAUCAAGCAUCAAAAGCUCAUUGAUUGAGGCACCUG